Molecule: long non-coding RNA, 16042 nt
Filed under: Gossypium barbadense (sea-island cotton)
Lineage: Eukaryota; Viridiplantae; Streptophyta; Magnoliopsida; Malvales; Malvaceae
Description: long non-coding RNA (GBAR_LNC004607)
Source: RNAcentral
GACCAUGGAGAUUUGGUAACCUCACUCUCUCUUUCCCCUCUUUUUUUUUUAAAAAAAAACUUGAAUCUUAUGCUGUUCUUUCAAAAAAACGAAACAAACUUUGAAGAUUUAAACAAAAUUUUAACACCGUUUGACCCUCGCCCACAUCUAUGCAUUUCUGAGACGUUUGGGCUUUCAUCGGCGUCGAUUCGGGUCCCCUUCAUGUGUUCAUGCUAAAAUUGCAAAACAUAUCAAAAGAAACGAAAAAAAAGGAUUUAGAAAUCACCUUUCAAUAACUUUUGGCUUGAUUUUUUUAAUAUCCAGUGUGCGUAACCCCUUACAAAAAUCAAAUCUCUUGGCUUUAUAGCCGAAAAUAAAAAUAAAAAAAUACAACUUUUUCUAUUUUUUGUAUUUGUUAUUGUGUUUGUCUCUUCUUGCAGGUACGUGUUAUGCGUGGCGCGUGUACGGGGGUUGUGUGCUGGCAUAUGGAGGUGUGGCUGUGGCUGUGGCGCUAGGAGGUCGUACGGCGCUAUGGGUUGGGUGCUGUGGCGCUCCUUGCUGCUAGGGUUUUCCUUUCUGAAACCAGAAUUUGGGUCGUUUGGGUCAUUGGGCCAUUUCUAUAUUUGGGCCUUUGGAUUCAUUGGGUUAGAAUUAUUAGGCUAUUCGGGUUAGGUUCAGUUUAGGCCUGAAAAUCUGUAAAUGGACCUUUAAUUUGGACUGUUAUAAUUUGGUUUGGUUUAUUAUUGUUUUGUAUUUUGGAUUUGAUGUGGACCCGGGAAAAUUGACCUGUUUACAGCUGCCCCUCUUUGCUCAUUGUCGUGUAACGAGAAUAGAGUAAAGACUUUAAAGAGGGCCAAUUUUGCUCAGUCUCGCCGAAUCAUGACUUCUUUGGUGUUCUUCUUCUUCGAGGUAGCCUUGUUCCAAUCCUCUGCAACUUCAGGGGUAUAGGAAUUUUUGCCCCAAUCUACUCCACUAUAACUCUAGAGAGACUAGCCUUAUAGCUCUUAAUCUGCUCUACUGCAACUGUUCCACUACAACUUCAGGGAGAUAAGAUCUGCUAUCUUUAGUCUGCUCCACUGUAACUUCAGGGAGAUAAGACUUGUUACUUCAACCCGCUUUAUUGCAACUUCAAAGAGAUAAGGAUCGUGGCUUCAAUUUGCUCCACUGCAAAUUCGGGGAGAUAAGAUCUGCUAUCUUCAAUCUGCUCCACUGUAACUUCAGGGAGAUAAGACUUGUUACUUCAACCCGCUCUGCUGCAACUUCAGAGAGAUAAGGAUCGUGGCUUCGAUAUGCUCCACUGAAACUUCAAGGAGAUAAGAUCUGCUAUCUUCAAUCUGCUCUACUGCAACUUUAGGGAAAUAAGACUUGUUACUUUAACCCGUUCUACUGCAACUUUAGAGAGAUAAGGAUCAUGGUUUCAAUCUGAUCCACUGCAACUUCAGGGAGAUAAGAUCUGCCAUCUUCAGUCUGCUUCACUGCAACUUCAGAGAAAUAAGGUUUGCUAUGAUGACUUAAUCCAACCUAUUGCAAUUUCAGUGGUAUGGGAUUUGUGGUUUUACCGGUCUGUUACGUCGUUCUCUGGGGAACAUGACAUGUAGAAUCGAUUUUAUGGGACUAUGUUUAUGCCAAAUGAUUAGAAUACUUUGAUCAAAAUGAAUCGAAUGCUCCUAACUAGGUGUAUAUGAUAUUUUCAUGAAUGCAAAAUGUCGUGGGAAUGAUCCUUUUUUAAUAUUUGGGUUGUCAUUGCUCAUUGUUCAUCAAGGUUCUGUUUCUGCUGUGCUAUCAUGUCUCCUUUGCUCGACUGGUAUCUUUGGCAGAAAAUCCUUAUUUGUUCAACUAGUUUUCUCUACUGCAUCUUUAGGGACAUAGAACUUGUAGUUUCUCCUAUCCACCUCACUGCAACUCAAGGGUGUAGGAUUCGAAUUUUCCCCCAUCAAUUUGGUCUGUUACACCAUUCCUCGGGUGUCAUGGCCAGACGUGUAUGCCUGAUAAUUUCAUGAAUGUAAAAUAUCAUUUUUCUUUUCUCGAGAGUGACCUCCUUUUAUACUGAUCAUUCCUCAUCGAGAUUGUAUCAUUGACGCAAUAUCUCGUCUUUUAUUCAAUCACUGUUUGGGACAAAGAUCCAAAGAGAUGGUCUCAACUUAAACCCUUCCUACUCAGAUAUUUCCUUAAGCUUGGUGAGUUCUAAAUAACAGUUCCGUUUCAGAUUCUCGUAUUAUUUAGAAGCUUUCCUAAGUAAUAUGCGAAACUCCUUUUGUGAAAGUAUUAUUAAUUCGUUAAUCAUUAUUUCUAUGCAACAUGCUUGCAACAAAUCAUAGCAAUGGAUAAGAAUGGAAUUUAAUUAGGGUAUAACUAAUAAAUAAAUUAUCGAAGAUAAAAAUGAAAGUCUAUUGGGGAUGCAUAUCUUGAAAAGAAAAAUAUUUCAAGGGUAGCUAAUUUAUUAUGAAUAAGGUGAAGACUAGAUGCCCCUGAUAUCGCAGCCUGAAUUUCUCUGUACGAACUUCCUGAAGACCAAUUUAAACUUGACAUUUGUUUAAGAGAUCAGAAGCACUUUGUCAAUGCCCCAAGAUGCGGCAUACCCUCUCCCUUGUCAAUUCAGGUAUAGCAAGAUCAUCACUUCCCCCAUCUUUGAUCAAUAUCUGAGCCGCCUUUUUUUAGGUUUUCAACUCAAAUCCCUUUUGGCCUCAAGGCGCCCUUUGCGGGUUUUCACCUUGGUCUCUCCCUUUUUUUUAAGGAAGGUCUCAGAACGCCCUUUGCAGGUUUUCACUUUGGCCUUUUUCCCUCUUUAAGUGUACUAUUUCUUGACAGAAUUCGAAUUCACAAGAUUGGGCAGGUUUUUUCCAUCCGUUUCUGCUAGGAUUAAUGCUCCUCCGGAGAAAGCUUUCUUCACCACAUAAGGCCCCUCCUAAUUGGGCAUCCAUUGUCCUCUAAAAUCAUUUUGUAUAGGAAUGAUCUUUUUCAGAACUAGAUCUCCCUCAAGAAACUCUCUCGGGUGAACCUUUUUAUCAUAAGCCUGCAUCAUUCUUUUUUGAUACAUCUGACCAUGCUAAAUAGCUCUUAGCCUCUUCUUCUCAACCAAAUUCAAUUGAUCAUAUCGAGACUGUAUCCAUUCUGCUUCAUCUAAAUUCAACUCUGACAAAACUCUGAGAGAAGGUAUCUCUACCUCAAUGAGUAGAACUGCUUCCAUUCCAUAGACCAAUGAGAAAGGCGUUUCCCCAAUAGAAGUUCUGACAGAUGUUCGAUAAGCGUAAAGAGUGAAUGGCAACUUCUCAUGCCAAUCUCUGUAAGUUUCAGUCAUUUUUCCCACAAUUUUCUUAAUACUUUUAUUUGCUGCUUCCACUGCCUAGAUCAUUUUUGGGCAAUAUGAUGAUGAAUUAUGGUGUCUAAUUUUAAACUGACUGCAAACCUCUGCUAUUAUGCUAUUGUUCAAAUUCAAUGCAUUGUCAGAUAUGAUCCUUUCAGGCAUCUCAUAUCAACAUAUGAUCUCUUUUUUCAGGAAUUUGCUCACAGCCGAUUUUGUAACAUUGGCGUAUAAGGCCACCUCUACCCACUUAGUGAAAUAGUCAAUGACCACAAAGAUGAACCGAUGCCCAUUUGAAGCCUUUGGUGAGUUGGCCCUAUGACAUCCAUGCCCUACAUGGAAAACGACCAUGGGGAAGUCAUAACAUACAAAGGCGAAUGAGGUACAUUAAUUUUAACAUCAUAGAUUUGACAUUUGUGACACUUCUUGGCAUAAUUAAUGCAGUCUCCUUCCAUGGUAGACCAAUAAUAUCCAAAUCUCAUAAUUUGUCUAGCCAUUGUGAAGCUAUUGGCAUGUGUUCCACAAAUGCCUUCGUGAACUUCUUCCAAAAUUUUCUUGGCUUCCACAACAUCUACACAUCUCAAUAAUACUUGAUCCUUUCUUCUUUUAUACAGUAUUUCCCCAUCUAAGACAUAAUCACAGGUUAGCCUUCUCAAUGUCCUUUUAUCAUUCUCAGUUGCCUGAUCAGGGUACUCACGAUUUCUCACGUAUCGCAAUAUAUCUUGAUACCAAGGGUGAUCAUCUCUCUCCUCUUCCUCCAUAUUGUAAAAAUAAGAUGGGGCUUCACAAAUACUCAUCUGAAUGGGUUUUACAUCUUCUUGUUUGCUCACAUUGAUCAUGGAAGCCAAAGUAGCCAAAGUAUCCGCUUUCUGAUUCUCAUCUCGCGGGAGAUAAUUGAAAGUAAUAUCAUCAAACUUCUCAAUUAACCCUAGCACUAUGCCUCGAUAAUUAAUCAAUUUGGAGUCUCUUGUCUCCCAUUCACCUCUAAGCUGGUAGAUCACUAGUGCGAAAUCUCUAUAUACUUCUAACACCCUGAUCUUGCGUUCUAUGGCUGCGCGGAGUCCCAUGAUGCAUGCUUCAUAUUCUGCCAUAUUAUUUGUGCAAUCAAAAUCCAAUUUAUAUGUGAAUGGAUAAUGAUCUCCAUUUGGGGAUACCAAAACUGCCCCGAUUCCAUUACCCACAGCAUUUGAGGCUCCAUCAAAGUUCAAUUUCCAUGGGUGACCUUUUGUAACUUCUUCUUCAAUAGCCGCCACAUACAUUAAUUCUUCAUUGGGGAAAUAAAAAUUCAAGGGCUCAUAAUCUUCUAAAGCUCUACUGGCCAGAAAUUCUGCUAUUGCCCUCCCUUUCACGGUCUUUUGACUCACAUAGACUAUGUCAAAUUCAGAAAGCAGAAUUUUCCACCUAGUCAUUCUUCCGUUCAAGGCGUUUGACUCCAUCAUAUAUUUUAAGGGGUCUAACUUCGAGAUUAACCAGGUCGUAUGGUACAACAUGUAUUGCCUCAAUCUCCGAACUGUCCAGAUCAAAGCACAACACAAUUUCUCGAUUGACGAAUAUCUCAAUUCACAUUCGGUGAAUUUCUUAUUAAGGUAAUAUAUCGCCUUUUCUUUUCUUCCUGACUCAUCAUGCUGACCAAGAACACAUCCCAUAGAGUUAUCAAACACUACUAAAUACAAUAUUAGCUGCCUAUCUGAGCUUGGAGGUGACAGCACUGGAGGACUUGACAAGUACUUUUUAACCUUAUCAAAAGCUUUCUAGAAUUCAUCAUCCCAUUCUCCUGGGUUAUGCUUUUUAAGAAGAUGAAAUAUGUGGUCGCAUUUUUUAGUUAAUUGUGAAAUGAACCAAGCAAUAUAAUUUAGUUUUCCUAAGAAGCCUCGAACUUCUUUUUGAGUACGUGGUGGAGACAAUUCUUGUAUAGCCCGAACUUUGUCUGAGUCAAUCUCAAUUCCCUUUUCACUGACUAUAAAGCCUAGUAGCUUUCCUGAUCUAGCUCCAAAAGUACAUUUCGCUGGAUUAAGCUUUAGCUGAAAUUUUCUCAAUCUCAAGAACAGCCUUCUCAACACUUUGAUAUGCUCCUCUUCAGUUCGAGAUUUGGCAAUCAUAUAGUCUAUAUAAACUUCAAUCUCUUUAUGUAUCAUAUCAUGAAAUAAGGUCACCAUGGCUCUUUGAUAUGUUGCUCCAGCAUUCUUCAGCCCAAACGGCAUCACCUUACAACAGAACGUGCCCCACAAGGUUAUAAAGGCAGUCUUUCCUAUGUCUUCAGGAUGCAUCUUUAUCUGAUUGUAUCCCGAGAAGCCAUCUAUGAAGGAGAACAAUGAGUAGCCCGCUAUGUUAUCCACUAGGGUAUCAAUGUGAGGCAAGGGGAAAUUGUCUUUCGGGCUAACCUUAUUUAAGUUUCUAUAAUCAACACACAUUCGUACUUUCCCAUCUUUUUUAGGAACAGGUACAAUGUUGGCUACCCAUUCCGAGUAUUUGACCACCCGCAGGAAUCCAGCAUCAAAUUAUUUCUUGACUUUCUCCUUUAUUUUAGCACAACGUCUGGCCUCAUCCUUCGAAGUUUCUGCUGAAUUGGCUUGCAAUCUUCUUUUAUAGGAAGGUGAGGUACUACAAUAUCGGUGCUCAACCCGGGCAUAUCUUGGUAGGACCAUGCGAAGACAUUUUUAAAUUCUUGAAGCAACCCAACAAAGUCUCACUUUAUUUUUUCGGUUAUGCACGUUUCGAUUCUUACAACUUUUCCUUAUUCCAAAGUCACCACCUCCACUGCCUCUUUAUGCGGUAGAAUUUGUUUUUCCUCUUGUUCUACUAUCCUUAACAAGUCCCGAGAUAAGUCACAAUCUCUGUCAUCUUCAAAGUCUUGAGAUCCCUCUAAACACAUGUCUUGCUCAAAAAGUGAUUCUGAGUCAGUAGCAGCAUCACUCAUGACAUUGAUAUCCUGGGACCUAUUAUAGGUACAAAAAUAUGCAAAAAAUGAAUGAAUUUAAGAAUUAUUGUUUGAAUGGUAUGAUUAUGAAGGAAUGAUUGAAGAAAGUCUAAAAGGACUAAGAUAAUUACUCCGACGAAAAGAAUAAAAACAAUUACUAGUGGAAAGAAUGAAAGAAUAUUUGCUCAAAAUGAUAGCAAAAAUAUACUUCAUUGGAAUAACGAUGUUUGAACAUGAGCCUAUUUCAAAAAGAAAUCCUCAUUGCCUCUAGGCUUAAAGCAACAAGAUUGUUUCAAACAUUACUCUGAGUAAGCUCUAAAUAUUACAGGAAUGUUUUCAGCAGUUCAGUUGCCUAGAACACUCCCAGGUUCAUACGGACGAAUAUCUGACAAGGUUCCCUUUUCAGUCACUUUUUCUAAUAUGGCAUUGAUGUGAAUAUCUUUCAACAUUUCUUUGAUGUCUUUUUUCUCCGACGUCCUUCGUUCGGGAUGAAUAAUCCCUCCCGAUACAAAAGUCUUCGAUAUGUGAGGGAUUACCAUGGGUUCCCACUUGAUUUCUUCACCACUCAAUCGUGCAUUUCUUCUCUCCUGCCUUUUUUCUAAUUCUUUCUUCCUUUGUCUUGCAUCUAGCCUAAACCUUAAACCAAAAUGGUCACAUUUGUCUUUCAGCAUAGGUACCUCAACUCUUCCCUGAAGACUCCUCCCAAGUCCCUUUCCUGGUAAAGCUCCUCUUCCAACCAUCAACUGUAGACUCAUCCUUGUAGUUUUGGAUAAUUUUGGUGUUGGAAUCUUGCUCCCCUCAGUAAUGAAUGUCACAUUAACAAAUUCCAAGAACUGAAAUGAACAUUCGAUUGCUUCGUCAUCUGUCUCCAAAUAUUGUGCAUCACUGCUUAUAGCUGUAGUGAUAUCCUCUUUAGCAUUUAUCAUUAUCAACCAACCCUCUGAUACUAACUUCAACUUCUGAUGUAAUGAUGAAGGCACUGCCCCUACUGAAUGUAUCCAAGGUCUUCCUAACAGGAAAUUGUAUGAGGGUUUAAUAUCCAUCACUAAAAAGCCCACCUCAUAUGUAGUUGGGCCAAUCAACAAAGGUAUUUCUAUUCUCCCAAUGACACUUUUUUCCAUGCCAUCGAAUGCCUGUACUAUAUUCUGACACCCCUUCAUGUGCAAGCUAUCCACAAGUAAUCUAUUUAAUGUAGACAAGGGCAAUAUAUUCAAUGCUGACCCAUUGUCUAUCAAGACCCCUGAAAAUGUGUAUCCUUUGCAUCUGGUAGUGACGUGCAGAGCUUUAGUGGACCCCAUACCUCCUGGUGGUAUUUAAGAAGAUGAAAUUAUCAGUACUUAUGUUAUUAACCAGCCGAUCUAACUUAUUGAUAGAGAUAUCAUUAGUCACAUACGUCUCAUUUAGGACCUUCAUCAAUGCAUUUCGGUGGACCUCUGAACUUAGUAGCAAAGCUAGUAUAGAUAUGCGAGCGGGUUGUUUAUUCAACUGUUCCACCACGCUAUAUUCACUAUGUUUUAGAAAUUUCAGGAAUUUCUUAGCUUCCUCCUCUUUCACUAGUUCAUUAUCUGGCAACUCAGACUUAACAACUUUUCCUUUCUUUUGUUCCACUAUCGGAGCUAUUCCUCUUACAGGUUCUGUUCGGGCAUUCACCAAAUCAUAGUAUCUUCUACUACAUAUGUGAGAACCUAUAUCUUGAUCCUCCUUAGCUAAACUCUCCUUCUCUGGGAUUGUCACAUUAUAAUCAUAAUUCCAUGGAACCCUUUUGUUUUCCUCGUAAGAGAAAACUGCUGGUUUCUGAAUUAUAACCUUCGGUGCCAUUUAAAUUCUCACUUCAUUUUUCGAGCAUGAGAUGAUGACCACAGGAUAAUUGACCUUUGGGCCCUUCGAUGUUGACUCUAAUGUGCAUAUACACCCUUCUUCUUUAACCUCUUUAUAAAACUCUAUCUCAUUAUUGUCCAUCAAGCCUGAAUCAAAGCUCUGAACUCUUCAUAUUCUUGAAUUUCAUGCCCCUCUUCAUGAUGGAAUUCACAGUAGCUCUCUAUCUCUUUGCCACUCUUUUCUGGAUUUGAAAUAACUAAUCCCCUUUUUUCCAUCUCCUUCCAAACCCAUUUCAAAGGAGUUUUCACUUCUGUAAUGUCUGCUUUGACCUUUCUUCCAAUAUUUUCACUUAUCGCGUUUACAUCGCCAUCGGGGUGAUUAGGUAACGGAUUUUCUGCACUGGGUGCAUUAUCAAACUUCACAACGCCCACUUUAAUAUAUCUUUCAACUACUUUCUUAAAGGCAGUGUACUUUUCUAUCGAAUGGUAAUCACACUAAGCGCCUGCAUCUUACCCUUUGGGGUAAGGGGGUUAUAAUGGCUUUAAGUAAAAAGGGGCCAUCACAUGUGCAUCGAAUAAACUUUGGUACAACUCCUUAUAUGACAUUGGGAUAGGCAUAAAUUAAAGCUUCUCAGUAUUUUUCUUUGUGCCAAACUCUUGUCUUAAAGACCAUUGACUCCCAAUAGUCACUGCUCUCAGCUGAUUAACGGUAAACGAUUUUAAGUACCCUAUAUUCGUAUUAUUCACCUUGUUUUCCUUUUUUUCGCGGGGCUGGCCUUUUGGUAUUCUCUCCUGCCUCCAUCCUUCCACUUCUUAUUGCAUUCUCGAUCAUUUCUCCAGUCAUUACCACAUCUGAGAAGCUUUUUGUGGCGCUUCCCAGCAUGUGUGUAAUGAACGAGGCCUUCAAAGUGUUGAUAAAGAGCAUCGUAGUUUCUUUUUCUAAAAGUGGCAGCUGAACUUGUAUGGCAACUUCUCUCCAUCUUUGCGCAUAUUGUCUGAAACUUUCAUUUGGUUUCUUCUCCAUAUUCUGUAGAGUAAUCCUGUCAGGAGUUAUAUCCGUCACAUGGCUGUACUGCUUCAUGAACGCUUGGGCCAAAUCUUUCCACGAACUAAUCUUGGUACGACUCAGCUGAUUGUACCACUUAGAUGCUGCCCCCACUAAACUGUAUUGGAAGCAAUGAAUCAGUAGUUGAUCAUUGUUAACAUACCCAGUCAUUCUUCUGCAAAACAUGGUAAUAAGAGCUUCAGGGCAGCUCAUCCCAUUGUACUUCUCAAAUUCUGGCAUUUUGAACUUGGGGGGAAAGACUAAGUCUGGGACCAAACUUAGAUCCUUAGCGUCAAUUCCGUGAGGACUAUCAGUACUUUCCAUCACUCUGAAUUUUUCCUCUAGCCAUUUACACUGUUCCUCUAAUUUCUUUUGUGAUUCCAUCCUUGCCUUUUCCUCUUCUGCAACUUCAUCCAAAUUAGGAACAAGUGGAUAAUUCGAGUUAUUAACAGGGUUAGAGCCUGAGCCAGUUUGGAAAUUCCUUGGUAUCGAAGCUCCAGCCUGAAUCUACUGAGGCCUGAUCGUAACAGAUGGUCUUUGCAGAUUAAUCUUAGGUUGUGUCGGUACAUGUGUUGGAGUGAAGCCAGGAGGAUAUUGAGGGUCUUCAUUAUUUUCCCCAACAUUAUCCAUAGGACCCUUUCCCUUAUCCAUUCUUCCCAUCAGUAAUUGAGACAACUGACUUAUCAUCUAUCUUUGGGAUUCUAUCAUUUGAUCUUUUAUCUCUUGCUGAAUCUUGGCUAGCUGCUCUUGCAUUUGUGACUGCAUUUGUUCCUGCAUGUCCUUUUGCAUUUGCUCCAAUUUUUCAAGUCUUUUUUCUAUUGAGUUGGUCUUUUUCCUUGUACUGUAAGGAUGCGUACUUGGUUGGUUUUCAUUAGUUUCCAGAUUACUUAAAUAAUUUUUAAUUAAUUAGAAUCUUUUUAUAAACUUUAAUGCAUAUGAUGUCAUGUAAUGCAAAUGCAUGAAUACAAAUGAGGCAUCAAUUUUGAUUCAAUUCCCUUUAGAAAACUUUACUAGAAAAUAAAAUUCUUUACAUAAAAUUGAGUUACAAAUAAGACUUCACCCUAAUGCUCAGAGUCUUAAUUUUACUAAGUAACGAGGCUAGCUCCUGCCCCCGAUUUGACUCUAACUCGUACUUCACACUCAGUAUGUCCGCUUGUACCGCUAAAGCUUGCAAGUAAUCUGCUACCUCCCGAAUCUGGGUUACGGCUUCUCCCAUAAUGUAAUCCCUGUUUCUGACUUGGUCUUACGCAUGGUGAAGUUGUUCCUUCCAACACUCCUCACUUGCUUCGAAAAACUCAAUCCUCAUCUCACAACUUUGUAAUGACACUUCUAAUUCUUCUAUUUUUCCUUUCAUUUCUUCUACAUUACUCAAGCUUGCUCUCAACUCCAUUGCAGUAUUAUAGCUUCGGUACAGAUGAAGAGAUUUCUCGAGUUUCGCCACUCUAGCCUUUAAUUCAUCUCGUUCAUUUCUGUUUUCUGACAGACUCUUCUCUAAAUCCUCAUUUUAUGCCUGAGCCUCUCGGAAUUUCCUUUCCCAUCGGUCAGCUUUGGUCUUUUCCUCUCGAAUUUCAGCACCUUUGUUCUGAAGUUUUACCUAACCCAGCAGUCCUCAUAGACAGGCGUAACUUCUUAUAAUCUGUCUUCAAACUGUCCAGAUCCUCUUCGGCCUUACUUUUCCCUUUUCUCAACUUCUCAGCCUCUGACCUCUGAACAUCUACGUAUAAUCUCAGAUGCAUCUUUUCUUCCUCCAACUGUUCGAUCUUCUUCCUAAGCUCAAAACUCUUCUUCUCAAAAUCCUGUUUUAUAAUUUUCAACUCUGACGAGGCAACUUAUAGUUGUUCUUCCACAAGUCGAGUAUCUUCUAAACUUAGCCUAGGAAUAUUAUCAUUGACCCUUUUCUUAAACCAUCUAUUGUAUUCAGGUGUCACCAUGGAACCAACAGCCAACCUCUUCAUCCAGCGAGUUUACUUCUAAGCAUCAGGCAGUUCCCGAACCUUCUUCUUAUAGUGGUCACCUUUAUAGGAGAAUUCACACUGAGCAAGCCCGUAAGUUGUGGGUGCAAACUGCCUCGAUUUAUAUUGCCUUAAUGCAAGCAAUAAAGUAUACCCAGUAGCUCCCCAAAUUCCUAACAAUGGUACCCAAUAAAAAUUCUCGCAUCGAUAUAGGAUUUCAUCAGGAACCAUCCAAAAAGCUCACCACUCUAUAUCCUCUUCCUUGAGAUUUUGAAGAAUUUCCAUCCAUUUUUCCUCUGAAAUAUCGUCUCUCCUCUGCAUGGCUGUCUCCUCCUUUAACGGGGAAUAACCUUCAGAAAAGACCCGGUAAGAAACCUUGUUUACUUUCCAAAAAUUCCUAUGAAACCACACCAUCAACAGCUGUGCACAUCUAAUAAACUGCCCCUUGCCUGUCUUCCGACACAUGCUCAAGGAUCUGAACGUAUCAGCCAAUAUUGCAAGUACAGGUGUGAUUCUCAUCUCAAGACGAUCGAAUAGGUCAGUGACUGCCUCAUCCAUGUGCCUUAAAGCCUUGGGAAAAAUCACCAAUCCAUAGAUGCUUAAGGCGAAGAUAGCGACCUUCUUCAUUUCAUUUGGAUGUGUUAAAACCAAAUCUCUCAAAUUCUCCCAAAGAAUACACUUACUAUCCCCCUUUUGUUGAAUUCGAGCAGUGACCCAAGGCUCGCUCAUCCCUGAAAUAGUCAUCAAAUUCUUUGCAAAAGUUGGACCAUUAAAAACCUUAGCAUAAGCUUUUUUAACUUGAACUUUUGGACACCUCAGCAGGGUAGUAUAUUCUUCCACGGUAGGUACCAAAUCCACUUCCCCAAAAGUGAAACAAUUGUAAGCAGAAUUCUAAAACUGAGCCAUGACUCGGAACAGAUGCUUGUCCACCUUAAUAUCGAGCAAGUAGGCUAUAUCACCAUAACUUUGAUAGAACAACUGUUUAGUUCCCUUAUCCUAACGAGCUCAUAUAUCUCUUAACUCUUGCAACUCAUUCUGCGUUACAUUGAUGCUAGUGAAUUUCAGCAACUCUGAUGUAUAUCCUUCUGCCAGGCUAUCCCCUUUCUCUGAUUGUAACUUAUCUGACCAUGCACGGACGGCUGCAUUAUCCUCAACUUUAUCAAGAAAUUCAUUCUCCAUGUUAAAUCUUUUAACUUAGUAAUUGAAUACAAAUCAACACCUCCUUUAGUAUGCAAUUUUAUGCAAAACACAAUCAAAACACAAUAAGUCAGUAUCAAAUGUUAAUGAUAAAAUACAAGCAAAAACCAAAAAUAAUCAGAACAAAGAUAUAGGCAACUACUAAGGCUUAAUCUAGCUCUACCUAAAGAAGGCUCUUAGGGUUCACUAUAUGUGGUUUGGUUCUAAAGAGAAGGUACCUGAACCAGCAGAUUCCUCAAUCCUCACCCAUUAUAGGCUCAUAUGAAUUGAGUUCGGUUCAGGGGGAUACAUUUCCUUAUGACCAUGCGGAGAUGAAAAUCUCACAAAAUCAUAAGUACAGAUGUAUCCCGGAAGCAAUCUACUAGCCUAUGUGGAGGCAAAAACCUAAUGAAAGCAUAGUUUCUUACUGCCACUUAAAGGUAUAACCACAACGGUCAUGCAAUGCAAUGCAAUAUUGUUCUACAAGACCCAAACCAAAACAAUCAUACAAACAAAUGCGAUCAAAACAAUAAUGAUUUUCAAAACAAAUUUUCAAUUCUUUGACAAAAGGACAGCAAAUAAUCAAUUUUAUGGCUUGACUCUCUUGUUCAGUCCCCAGUGGAGUCGCCAAGCUGUCGAAACCAUUUUUUUGAUUUUGAAAACAACGGGGAUCGAAUUUUUAAACCAAAUGUGGAGUCGCCACCAAUCUUUUAUUUUGGUGUGAUUGGAUCACCUUAAUAAAAUAUUUUAUUCCAUUUAAAUCUAUUUUGGUCUACGAAAUUUGAGAAAACGGGUUCGGGAGCUGGUUAUGUACGAGGAAGGAUUAGCACCCUCGCUACGCCCAAAAUUGGUACCGAUUUGAUUAAAUAAUGUCCUUAUGUCUAAAAUAUAUUUUGAAAUACGAUUUCUUUUAAAACACUUGAAUGACUCAAAUUGGGCGUCAAGAUUCGCUUAUUUCAAAGGAAUACAGUAUCACAUCCAGCACGUUAGGACACGAUCCUUUAAACCUUCGAAACUACGAUCAAUUCCGAUUCUAAAAGCCCGUACAUUUGAAAAUUACAAAAGGAUGCUCGCUUAUUUGGUCCAACAAAAGAAACGAAACACAGCACGGUAGGGCACGAUUUCUCGAAUUUACAAACAUUGAACAUUACCUUAUUUUAGAAUUUAGAAAAUGCGGAUGAAAUUUCAAAGGAAUAUUUGAUUAUCUUGGACAAACGAAAAAUCGAAACCCAGCACGGUAGGGCACGAUUCCUCGAGUUCCCAAACAUCAAUCAUUACCUUUAUUUUAGUAAAUUUUCAAAUAAACAAUUGUAGAAUUAGCUCAAAACGCAUUAAUUUGACUUGAAAUAAAAUGGAAUAAUUAGUUUCAAAGAGUUAAAAACCACAAAACAACAUCUUGUAAAUCAAGAGGAAAAGAAGUAAUGAAUAUGGGAUAAUAUGCAUGAAUAACGUAGAAUACUUGAUAAGUGCAGAUAACAUAACCUUAUUUAACCAAUCAAAUCAAAUAAACAAUUAAUUUAAAACAACAAAAUUUACAAGCAUGAGUGAACAACAAUUGAUUUAAUAAUACAUAAAAACAAGUAAACGCGAUGUAGCAAAUAUACAUGAAAUAAUGUGAGGACAAUUAACUCAUGAAAUACCAAACAAUAUAAAACCAAUAUGAUACUAAAAUAAUUUCUAAAAAUGAUGGAUUAAUGGGCAAAUAAUACUUGAAAUAAUUUAUAAAAGAAAAACUAAGAAUAUAAAUAUAUAAUUUUUAACAUUGACGUUGCAAAAACAUUUGAAUCAAAUAAAAUGCCAAAUAUCUAGAAAUAAAACAUUUAUUUGAAAUUAACAAUAUCUAUUCAAUAAAGAUAAUUUUUUUUGUAAAAAAAACAUAAAUUAUGGAAAGAUUGCAUGCGCAUAAAAUAUGAAACUAAAUUAAUGUCCAUGUGCAUUAUAUAUAAAAAAACUAACGUGGAACUAAAAUAUGAAUUAUAAAAUUAAAUUAACUUCAUCAUAAGUUAUAUACGUAAUAGAUUGUAACAACAUAAUUAUAUAUAAAUAGAUUUUUAAAAAAAAAACCAUAUGUUUAAAAUAACAUAGAUCGAAUAAUAUAUAAAUUAAAUAUAUGUACCAAGUAUAUGAAUAAUAAUAGUUUAAAUAAUACAUAAAAUAUGUGGAGUUUCCUUUAGAUAACAAAAAGAAUAUAUAACAAAAUAUAAGAAUAAGUUUAAAAGAAAUUGUAUGUAUAAAAUAAUAUAAGAUUAAUAAUUUACAUGGCACUCUAUCAUGAAUCAUGUAAAUAUAAUAAUGUACAAAAAACAUUAAAAAAAAUAUUACACAAAAUGUUAAAGUGAUAUGAUUAAAAAAUAAUGACUUUGAAACAAAUCACAAUUAUCAAAGUAGCUCAAAAUACAAAAUAAAUAAACAAGAAUUAAAAAUGAAUGUGAAAUGAAUAAAAAAUGAUGAAAAAAACUUAUUUGAAAUAAAAUUAAAAUAAAAGGGAUAAUUUACAAAUUCUUGAACUUAAAUUGAGGACUAAUGCGCAAGGCGCGCGAAUUCACAAGGACCACAGUUGAAAAUAUCCCUGAUCCCUAAACGCUGCGACAUAUUGCGGACCAAAAUGAAAACGCGCGCAAAUUAUAGGACCGAAUUAAAAAACAAAGUAAAGCAGAUAAGGUGCAAUGGAAUGCUCGCGCGAGGGGAAGGAUCUAACGUGCAAAUUCCCCAUUUUGAACAAAAGGGCGAGGAUCCGGCCUGCCCAUCGGGUCGACAUGCCAAUCUUUAUGGCUGAAAUGGCGUUGUUUUUUAUUCUGGUGCUAAAGGACCCUAUUCCCAUUUAUUUUCUUUCCGAAAACAUAGAUGAAAAAAAAAGGAAUCCCUGCUCUGUUAGGGUUUGUUCCAUUACGCAGCCACUAAACCUCCAUCAACUUGAUGACCAAUGGCGCGGAUGAUGGCCAGAUCUUGACAACGGAGGCCAUAACCAUGGAGAUCUGGUAACCUCGCUCCCUCUUUUCCCUUUUUUUUUUAAAAAAAAACUUGAAUUUUAUUCUGUUCUUUCAAAAAAAUGAAACAAACUUUGAAGAUUUAAACAAAAUUUUAACACCGUUCGACCCUCGCCCACAUCCAUGCAUUUCUGAGACGUUUGGGCUUUCAUCAGCGUCAAUUCGGGUCCCCUUCAUGUGUUCAUGCUAAAAUUGCAAAGCCCAUCAAAAGAAACGAAAAAACAGAUUUGGAAAUCACCUUUCAAUAACUUUUGGCUUGAUUUUUUUAAUAUCCAGUGUGCGUAACCCCUUACAAAAAUCAAAUCUCUUGGCUUUAUAGCCGAAAAGAAAAAUAAAAAAUACAUUUUUUUCUAUUUUUUGUAUUUGCUGUUGUGUUUGUCUCUUCUUGCAGGUACGUGGUAUGCGUGGCGCAUGUACGGGGGCUGUAUGCUAGCAUACAAAGGCGUAGGCGUGGCUGUGGCGCCAAGAGACCGUACGGCGUUGUGGGCUGGGGGCUGCGGCGCUCCUUGCUGCUAUGGUUUCCCUUUUUGAAACCAAAAUUUGGGUGGUUUGGGCCAUUGGGCCAUUUCUGUAUUUGGGCCUUUGGGUUCAUUGGGUUAGAAUUAUUAGGCUAUUCGGGUUAGGUUCAAUUUAGGCCCGAAAAUCUGUAAAUGGACCUUUAAUUUGGACUGUUAUAAUUUGGUUUGGUUUAUUAUUGUUUUGUGUCUUGGUUUUGAUGUGGACCCGGGCAAAUUGACCUGUUUACAAUAUCAAUCUAAAAAAGUGUAUAUAUUGACAUUCAUUGAGCAGUUGAAAAUGUUGAAAGUUCAAAAAUAUAUUCUUUAUAUCCAUAUUAAAAAGUUAAAAAGAAAAUGUUGAAGUUAGGAAA